UGUGGUGAUUCCUCAAGGAUCUAGAACUAGAAUGACCAUUUGACCCAGCCAUCCCAUUACUGGGUAUAUACCCAAAGGACUAUAAAUCAUGCUGCUAUAAAGACACAUGCACAUGUAUGUUUAUUGUGGCAGUAUUCACAAUAGCAAACACUUGGAACCAACCCAAAUGUCCAUCAGUGAUAGAGUGGAUUAAGAAAAUGUGGCACAUAUACACCAUGGAAUACUAUGCAGCCAUAAAAAAGGAUGAGUUCAUGUCCUUUGUAGGGACAUGGAUGAAGCUAGAAGCCAUCAUUCUCAGCAACCUAUCACAAGGACAAAAAAAACCAAACACCACAUGUUCUCACUCAUAGAUGGGAAUUGAACUAUAAGAAUGCUUGGACACAGGAAGGGGAACAUCACACACCGGGGCCUGUCGUGGGGUGGGGGGAGGGGGGAAGGAUAGCAUUAGGAGAUACACCUAAUGUUAAAUGACGAGUGAAUGGGUACAGCCAACCAACAUGGCACAUGUAUACAUAUGUAACAAACCUGCAUGUUGUGCACAUGUACCCUAGAACUUAAAGUAUAAUAAAAAAAAAAAGAGAUCCUGUCAUUUGUAACAGCAUGGAUGAAACUGAAUAUGAUUAUGUUAAUGAAAUAAGCCAGGUGCAUAAAGACAAACUUCACAUGUUCUUACUUAUUUGUGGGAUCUAAAAGUUAAAAAAAAUAGAUUUCAUGGACAUACAGAGUAGAAGAAUGGUUACCAGAGGCUGGGAAGUGUAGUGGGGGGCUAGCAGGGGGUGAGAAUUGUUAAUGAGUACCAAAAGAUAAACAUAAAAGAAUGGUCUCUCUGUCUGGGUAGGUCCAGCAGUGUUGGCCACACACAUCCCACUAGUGGUUGGGGUCACUGGCAUUGGUUGAAUAUCACCCCUGGCUUUGGCCAUGGCCAUGGGAGAGAUUUGGCACCCAGAGCCUCCAGGGGCCUCAGCUCAAUGUGCACUGCCCCAUGUGCAGCUGUGAAACCCAGGCCCUGAUGGGCACUGUGGCCUCUGCCCCAUUGUGGCCACUCACAUGGUCUAGCCCCUGGGUCUGGCCUCCAACCCCUAACUGUCUUCUCUCUGCAGGAAACUGGUCCUCCCACACCUGAGCCCAACACUGCCAGGUCUGUGGAAAGGGGGAGACUCAGCUGUUUCUGUUUUUCAAAUAAAACUGUUUGUCUAAAAGAAAAAAUAGAAAAAAAUGGAUAAAACCUACUAUUUGAUAACACAACAGGGUGACUAUAGUCAAUAAUAAGUUAAUUGUACAGUUUAAAGUAACUUAAUGAAUGUAAUUGGAUUGUUUAUAACUCAAAAGAUAAGUGCUUGAGAAAAUGGAUGCCCCAUUCUUCAUGCUGUGCUUAUUUUACAUUUAAUGCCUAUAUGAAAACAUCUCAUGUACCCCAUAAAUAUAUAUGUAUACCUACUAUGUACUCAAACAAAUUAAAAAAUAAAAUAAAAAGCGUAAACCAAAAAUAAAGUUCUAAGCCCCCCAACUAUCUAAACAGACCCCUCUUCUUGGUUGAAGGCAUUCCAAAAUUAACCUGAUAAACUGGUUUUGGUCAUGAUGGGAAGUGAGGGAGGUGUGUAAGACAUGCCUCACAGCUGACCAGCGUGCACAUCAACAAAAGACCUUAAGAAUGAUAGAACAGACUCUUUAAGUCUAAUCAAACAAAUUUACUAUCUAUUUUCCAUGAAGUGUGCUACCUGGGGGCUUCAUCUACAUGAUAAAACCUUGGUCUCCACAACCCCUUAUUAUAAUGCAGACACUCCUUUCUGUUGAUUCCAGGUGUUUAUAUAAUAACUCUUUCAACCAAUUGCCAAUCAGACAAUCUUUUAAUCCACCUGUCACCUGAAAGCCCAGACUUCCAGUUGUCCCACGUUUCCAGACAAAACCAAUGUACAUUUUACAUGUAUUGAUUGAUGUUUUAUGUCUCCCUAGAUUGUGUAAAACCAGUUGUAGCCCAACCACCUUGUGCACAUGUCGUCAGGACCUCCUGAGGCUGUAUCAUGAGCAUGUCCUUAACUUUGGCAAAAUAAACUUCUAAAUUGAUGGAGACUUGUCUCAGAUACUCUUAAUUUAACAAUUGGUAACCAUGAAGGAACUCUGAGUAGAGGUUCCCCUGACCUUUGUCAAAUCUAUCCGUGCUUGGUAACAGUUUGAGCUAUCAUUAUUGCUCAAACCAAUAGAAAAAUCUACUGGCCUUGGAGGCCCUCCUACAGAGAAUCUCUGGUCUCCCAAAAUUUUGUUAAAAUCUGAGACUUUGUAUGACUCCUUUUCUGGAGUUGUACUUUUUUCCAACAAGGAAGGUGAGUUUUCCUGAUUCCAUAACAAUGGAAAGCAGGCAACUCCCUCUGGAGUUUCAGCUUGCCUCCAACAGGGAAGAUGAGUUUGAGGUUUUUUCUGCUUCUAAAAUAGUAGAGAGCAGUCUUAUGCAUGGGCCCC
RNAcentral lists this long non-coding RNA (2457 nucleotides) under Homo sapiens (human). RNAcentral describes it as "HSALNT0284024". The stretch from base 889 to 1015 matches the Rfam family "Small nucleolar RNA ACA64". The record is from RNAcentral. Lineage: Eukaryota; Metazoa; Chordata; Mammalia; Primates; Hominidae.